GACGAACGCUGGCGGCGUGCUUAACACAUGCAAGUCGAACGAUGAAGCCCAGCUUGCUGGGUGGAUUAGUGGCGAACGGGUGAGUAACACGUGAGUAACCUGCCCUUAACUCUGGGAUAAGCCUGGGAAACUGGGUCUAAUACCGGAUAGGAGCGUCCACCGCAUGGUGGGUGUUGGAAAGAUUUAUCGUUUUUGGAUGGACUCGCGGCCUAUCAGCUUGUUGGGGAGGUAAUGGCUCACCAAGGCGACGACGGGUAGCCGGCCUGAGAGGGUGACCGGCCACACUGGGACUGAGACACGGCCCAGACUCCUACGGGAGGCAGCAGUGGGGAAUAUUGCACAAUGGGCGCAAGCCUGAUGCAGCGACGCCGCGUGAGGGAUGACGGCCUUCGGGUUGUAAACCUCUUUCAGUAGGGAAGAAGCGAAAGUGACGGUACCUGCAGAAGAAGCACCGGCUAACUACGUG
This 466-nucleotide ribosomal RNA is filed under the name uncultured bacterium. Its description in RNAcentral is "partial 16S ribosomal RNA". It matches the Rfam family "Bacterial small subunit ribosomal RNA", at positions 28 to 507 of the family's 1533-position model. The record is from RNAcentral.